GAUGAAGAACGUAGCGAAAUGCGAUAAGUAAUGCGAAUUGCAGAAUUCCGUGAGUCAUCGAAUCUUUGAACGCACAUUGCGCCCUUUGGCAUUCCGAAGGGCAUGCCUGUUCGAGCGUCAUUUAUCAACCCUCAAGCCCGGCUUGCGGUUGGGUCCCGCCGUGGGCGACCACGGCGGACCCGAAAGGUAAUGGCGGUGCCCGUGGGGCCCUGGACGCAGCGAGCUUCUCGGCACGCGUCCCGGCGGUCCCCGGCGCCGUCUCCACCAAUCCACCACGCAGAUUGACCUCGGAUCAGGUAGGGAUACCCGCUGAACUUAAGCAUAUCAAUAACGGAGGA
This 338-nucleotide unclassified non-coding RNA is filed under the name soil metagenome. RNAcentral's name for it is "partial contains 5.8S ribosomal RNA, internal transcribed spacer 2, and large subunit ribosomal RNA". The stretch from base 1 to 120 matches the Rfam family "5.8S ribosomal RNA", at positions 35 to 154 of the family's 154-position model. The record is from RNAcentral.